GUGGGGGAUAUUGCACAAUGGGCGAAAGCCUGAUGCAGCGAUGCCGCGUGGAGGAAGAAGGUCUUCGGAUUGUAAACUCCUGUCUUUAGGGACGAUAAUGACGGUACCUAAGGAGGAAGCUCCGGCUAACUACGUGCCAGCAGCCGCGGUAAUACGUAGGGAGCGAGCGUUGUCCGGAAUUACUGGGUGUAAAGGGAGCGUAGGCGGGGCGGCAAGUCAGGUGUGAAAUUUAUGGGCUUAACCCAUAACCUGCAUUUGAAACUGUCGCUCUUGAGUGAAGAAGAGGUUGGCGGAAUUCCUAGUGUAGCGGUGAAAUGCGUAGAUAUUAGGAGGAACACCAGUGGCGAAGGCGGCCAACUGGGCUUUUACUGACGCUGAGGCUCGAAAGCGUGGGGAGCAAACAGGAUUAGAAACCCUAGUAGUCC
RNAcentral lists this ribosomal RNA (425 nucleotides) under uncultured bacterium. Its description in RNAcentral is "bacterial SSU rRNA". It matches the Rfam family "Bacterial small subunit ribosomal RNA", at positions 354 to 796 of the family's 1533-position model. The record is from RNAcentral.